Ornithorhynchus anatinus (platypus) is the source of this 138-nucleotide small nucleolar RNA. The record is from RefSeq and is a predicted model, not a curated record. NCBI's taxonomy places the organism in Eukaryota, Metazoa, Chordata, Mammalia, Monotremata, Ornithorhynchidae.
CCCCUCUCAGGACCACACCCGGAGAGUUUCCAGUACUCUACCAGUCUUGACUAUGGGAGGGAGAGUGAAGCAGAGGCAUACUCAUUCCAUUCCUAGCUUGGCCAGUGGCUAGCGAGUGGAAAGCAAGCUGCUGCAAGA